UACGAAGGGGGCAAGCGUUGUUCGGAAUGACUGGGCGUAAAGGGCGCGUAGGCGGUUCGUUGCGUUCAGAUGUGAAAGCCCCGGGCUCAACCUGGGAACUGCAUUUGAUACGGGCGGGCUUGAAUCCAAGAGAGGGUGGUGGAAUUCCCAGUGUAGGAGGUGAAAUUCGUAGAUAUUGGGAAGAACACCAGUGGCGAAGGCGGCCACCUGGCUUGGUAUUGACGCUGAGGCGGCGAAAGCGUGGGGAGCAAACAGG
Molecule: ribosomal RNA, 256 nt
Filed under: uncultured bacterium
Lineage: Bacteria
Description: partial 16S ribosomal RNA
Rfam family: Bacterial small subunit ribosomal RNA
Source: RNAcentral